RNAcentral lists this transfer RNA (90 nucleotides) under Pseudomonadota bacterium. Its description in RNAcentral is "tRNA-Ser". It matches the Rfam family "tRNA". Rfam says of the family: Transfer RNA (tRNA) molecules are approximately 80 nucleotides in length. Their secondary structure includes four short double-helical elements and three loops (D, anti-codon, and T loops). RNAcentral also lists the same sequence under 1 other name. The record is from RNAcentral. Lineage: Bacteria; Pseudomonadati; Pseudomonadota.
GGACAGUUGGCAGAGUGGUUGAAUGCACCGGUCUUGAAAACCGGCAUGGGUGCAAGCCCAUCCAGGGUUCGAAUCCCUGACUGUCCGCCA